CCUACGGGAGGCAGCAGUGAGGAAUAUUGGUCAAUGGCCGGAAGGCUGAACCAGCCAAGCCGCGUGAAGGACGAAGGUGCCAAGCAUUGUAAACUUCUUUUGUCAAGGGACAAAAUCAGGCUCGAGAGCCUGACCGAGGGUACUUGAAGAAAAAGCAUCGGCUAACUCCGUGCCAGCAGCCGCGGUAAUACGGAGGAUGCGAGCGUUAUCCGGAUUUAUUGGGUUUAAAGGGUGCGUAGGCGGACUGUUAAGUCAGCGGUAAAAGCCCGGGGCUCAACCCCGGCGAGCCGUUGAACCUGGCUGUCUUGAGAUGUCGAGAGGUAUGCGGAAUGCGCAGUGUAGCGGUGAAAGGCUUAGAUAUUGCGCAGAACUCCGAUUGCGAAGGCAGCAUACCGGCGGCGAUCUGACGCUGAGGCACGAAAGCGUGGGUAUCGAACAGGAUUAGAUACCCGGGUAGUC
Molecule: ribosomal RNA, 459 nt
Filed under: uncultured bacterium
Lineage: Bacteria
Description: partial 16S ribosomal RNA
Rfam family: Bacterial small subunit ribosomal RNA
Source: RNAcentral